UAUGAAAGAACUAGGUGUGCGACAAGUAGGGCGGGACACGUGAAAUCCUGUCUGAAGAUGGGGGGACCAUCCUCCAAGGCUAAAUACUCGUGAUCGACCGAUAGUGAACCAGUACCGUGAGGGAAAGGCGAAAAGAACCCCGGGAGGGGAGUGAAAUAGAUCCUGAAACCGCAUGCAUACAAACAGUCGGAGCCUCGUAAGGGGUGACGGCGUACCUUUUGUAUAAUGGGUCAGCGACUUACGUUCAGUAGCAAGCUUAACCGUAUAGGGCAGGCGUAGCGAAAGCGAGUCCGAAUAGGGCGUUCAGUUGCUGGGCGUAGACCCGAAACCAGGUGAUCUAUCCAUGGCCAGGAUGAAGGUGCGGUAACACGUACUGGAGGUCCGAACCCACUAACGUUGAAAAGUUAGGGGAUGAGCUGUGGAUAGGGGUGAAAGGCUAAACAAACCUGGAAAUAGCUGGUUCUCUCCGAAAACUAUUUAGGUAGUGCCUCGUGUCUCACCUUCGGGGGUAGAGCACUGUCAUGGUUGGGGGGUCUAUUGCAGAUUACCCCGCCAUAGCAAACUCCGAAUACCGAAGAGUGCAAUCACGGGAGACAGACAUCGGGUGCUAACGUCCGGUGUCAAGAGGGAAACAACCCAGACCGCCAGCUAAGGUCCCCAAAUAUAGCUAAGUGGGAAACGAAGUGGGAAGGCUAAAACAGUCAGGAGGUUGGCUUAGAAGCAGCCACCCUUUAAAGAAAGCGUAAUAGCUCACUGAUCGAGUCGUCCUGCGCGGAAGAUGUAACGGGGCUAAGCUA
Molecule: ribosomal RNA, 797 nt
Filed under: Burkholderia contaminans
Lineage: Bacteria; Pseudomonadati; Pseudomonadota; Betaproteobacteria; Burkholderiales; Burkholderiaceae
Description: partial 23S ribosomal RNA
Rfam family: Bacterial large subunit ribosomal RNA
Source: RNAcentral